Molecule: ribosomal RNA, 459 nt
Filed under: uncultured bacterium
Lineage: Bacteria
Description: bacterial SSU rRNA
Rfam family: Bacterial small subunit ribosomal RNA
Source: RNAcentral
GAGUUUGAUCAUGGCUCAGAUUGAACGCUGGCGGCAGGCCUAACACAUGCAAGUCGAGCGGUAGAGAGAAGCUUGCUUCUCUUGAGAGCGGCGGACGGGUGAGUAAUGCCUAGGAAUCUGCCUGGUAGUGGGGGAUAACGCUCGGAAACGGACGCUAAUACCGCAUACGUCCUACGGGAGAAAGCAGGGGACCUUCGGGCCUUGCGCUAUCAGAUGAGCCUAGGUCGGAUUAGCUAGUUGGUGAGGUAAUGGCUCACCAAGGCGACGAUCCGUAACUGGUCUGAGAGGAUGAUCAGUCACACUGGAACUGAGACACGGUCCAGACUCCUACGGGAGGCAGCAGUGGGGAAUAUUGGACAAUGGGCGAAAGCCUGAUCCAGCCAUGCCGCGUGUGUGAAGAAGGUCUUCGGAUUGUAAAGCACUUUAAGUUGGGAGGAAGGGCAGUAAAUUAAUACUUUG